This is a long non-coding RNA of Canis lupus familiaris (dog), 732 nucleotides long. RefSeq lists it as uncharacterized. The record is from RefSeq and is a predicted model, not a curated record. The transcript is spliced from 4 exons. NCBI's taxonomy places the organism in Eukaryota, Metazoa, Chordata, Mammalia, Carnivora, Canidae.
UUUUAUGACACCACACUCCUCUGGUUUUCCUCCUGCCUCUGGCUGACUCCUCUCCUUCCUAAGGAGUUCCUUUUUCUCAGUCUACUACUAAAAUGGGAGAGAGCAAAAAAGAUCUGCACGUCAUUGGUGUGGAGCUGCUGUAAAGGACAGCAGAACUGCCAGCCCUGAGCAGCACAACACGCCGGCUCAUCGCAGGAGACAAUUUUAGUGUCAGCCAGCAGCAGCAGCUUGAUUUGCAGUUUCUUUUAUGGAACUGACGUCAUUUGACAAAUGAGGAAAUAGGACCAUGGACAGCGGUCUAAAACAUUACCCAAGGCUACCCAGCUAGUGAGCGGGGAAAGCAAGGCCUUGAAAGCUGCUUGAUGGGUCUCUCAUGACUUACUGCCUCCAAGUUCUAAUGUGGUCAGAAUUCCUAGAAACCCAGAUUUGUGAAUCUCUACAUCAGUCUAACCAAGCAGCAGAGCUGUGGAUGAGGCAGUCCGGAUGAUGGGCAGAUGGGGAGACAGCUCACAGAGGUUAGGAGUGGAACUCAGUCAUCUGCCUACGACCUGCUUCUAUUUACACGUGAGAUAAAGAGAAUUAAAAAGUCACAUCAAAGGACCUGGCCAUCGAACAGGGUGUGGUAAUACUCUGCUAAUACAUAUUUUAAACUCAAGUGGCUUCAAACCUCCUGUCAUUUGAUACUGUUCCAACUGAACAUCUAUAAACCAUAAUAUGGAGAUUGAGCCCUAA